UACAGAGGUCCCAAGCGUUGUUCGGAUUCACUGGGCGUAAAGGGUGCGUAGGUGGCGAGGUAAGUCGGAUGUGAAAGCUCGGAGCUCAACUCCGAAAUGGCAUUGGAAACUACCUUGCUCGAGGGAUGGAGGGGGGACUGGAAUUCUCGGUGUAGCGGUGGAAUGCGUAGAGAUCCGGAAGAACACCGGUGGCGAAGGCGGCCUGCUGGGCAGUUGCUGACACUGAGGCGCGACAGCGUGGGGAGCAAACAGG
RNAcentral lists this ribosomal RNA (253 nucleotides) under uncultured bacterium. RNAcentral describes it as "partial 16S ribosomal RNA". It matches the Rfam family "Bacterial small subunit ribosomal RNA", at positions 524 to 776 of the family's 1533-position model. The record is from RNAcentral.